This 606-nucleotide ribosomal RNA is filed under the name uncultured fungus. Its description in RNAcentral is "eukaryotic LSU rRNA". It matches the Rfam family "Eukaryotic large subunit ribosomal RNA", at positions 23 to 641 of the family's 3401-position model. The record is from RNAcentral. Lineage: Eukaryota; Fungi.
ACCCGCUGAACUUAAGCAUAUCAAUAAGCGGAGGAAAAGAAACCAACAGGGAUUGCCCUAGUAACGGCGAGUGAAGCGGCAACAGCUCAGAUUUGAAAUCUGGCGUCUUUGGCGUCCGAGUUGUAAUUUGUAGAGGAUGCUUUUGGGUUGCCACCGGUCUAAGUUCCUUGGAACAGGACGUCAUAGAGGGUGAGAAUCCCGUAUGUGACCGGCUUAGGCACCCUUUGUAAAGCUCCUUCGACGAGUCGAGUUGUUUGGGAAUGCAGCUCUAAAUGGGAGGUAAAUUUCUUCUAAAGCUAAAUACCGGCCAGAGACCGAUAGCGCACAAGUAGAGUGAUCGAAAGAUGAAAAGCACUUUGGAAAGAGAGUUAAAAAGCACGUGAAAUUGUUGAAAGGGAAGCGCUUGCAAUCAGACUUGCCCGCGGUUGUUCAGCCGGUCUUCUGACCGGUUUACUCUUCCGUGGGCAGGCCAGCAUCAGUUUCGGCGGCCGGAUAAAGGCCUUGGGAAUGUAGCACCCCCUCGGGGGUGUGUUAUAGCCCAGGGUGUAAUACGGCCACCCGGGACUGAGGUCCGCGCUUCGGCUAGGAUGCUGGCGUAAUGGUUGU